CUGUGCACUAUUUCCGGCUGCGCGUCCACCACCAUACCCUUAUCCCUAUCAUUUGAAUCAAUAUCCACCGUCUUCAUAUGGUCAACCUCCAACUUCCCAAGCCGGAAUUCAAGCCUCAUUCCCGGUACGUCCGUAUGCCCCUCCCCCACCUGCUGCGGACGGAAGUCAAGCUUCUUUCCAGAUACCUCCAUACGCCCUCCUCCAUAUGCUCCACCUCCGUAUGGAGUACCUCCUUAUGCUCCAUAUGCUCCACCUCCGUAUGGAGCACCUCAUCUAUAUGCUCCACCUACGUAUGGAGCACCUCCUCCAGUUGCACCUUUAUCUGUUGGAUCUGAAAACCAAGCUGAGGAAAAUCCCGUGCCGAAGGAAAAGCGUCCAAAGAGGCUAGAGUGGACGAAGGAAGACGAGGAAAAGCUGGUUAAUGCUUGGUUUAUGCAUUCUAAUGAUCCCAUCUCCGGCAACAAUAAGAGCGGAUCAAGUUUUUGGGGCCAAAUAGCGGCAACAUAUAACUCCACCUCCGACCCUAUCCGUCAUCGAACCGCCAAGCAACUUAAAGAUCAUUGGGUCACCUACAACUGGGAGGUGACCAAGUUCAAUGGAUUCUACCUCCAAGAAGAAAGGUUGCGUCAGAGCGGAGCUGACGAUGCAAUGGUCAUGGAUGCAGCAAUGGCGAGGUUCGAGGGUAAAAUGGGGCAUCCAUUUAAGCGCCAUCAUUGGUGGCAAGUUGUUCGCCACGAGCCCAAGUGGUCAGCAAAUCAUGGUCUUGGUAGUGGAUUUGAUUCGACUGCGAAUAAGAGAACCCGACUCGGAGUCUAUGGUGAAUAUAGUUCUGGAGGCACUGAAGACACCGAGGAGGAAGUGCCCCGACCAGUGGGGCGUGAUAGGGCAAAGGCGGCUGCGCGAAAGACAAAGACGAAGGGGAAAGGGAAGGAAGCCACGACCAACGAAUCAACAAGUGAAGCAUUCAAAAUGAAGAACUUGUGGGGUGGAUUAGUGAAGGCCAAGCUUUUGAAGCAAUGGAACAUCCUAAAGGGCCGAUCAACCAGAGAUAUGGACCCGGCUGAAAGACGUACCCAUGGCAGGGCCGUAAAGAUGGUCGAAAAAGAACUUGGUCUGCUAGAUGACGAAGAAAAGGAACCGGAAGCGGAACGUGAAGAGGAGGAAGAUGAGGAUGAGAUCGAGGAGUCCGAUUAG
Molecule: unclassified non-coding RNA, 1194 nt
Filed under: Zea mays
Lineage: Eukaryota; Viridiplantae; Streptophyta; Magnoliopsida; Poales; Poaceae
Description: misc RNA Zm00001eb377510
Source: RNAcentral